Molecule: RNA transcript, 275 nt
Organism: Rhipicephalus microplus (southern cattle tick)
Lineage: Eukaryota; Metazoa; Arthropoda; Arachnida; Ixodida; Ixodidae
Source: RefSeq, a predicted model, not a curated record
UGUUGUCCUCGGGGGCAUAGCCACUUCAACUGCCCAUUGUGCUGCAGAUCGGCAUGUUUACUAUGAGGUAGAAGACGAUGCUCAACGAAUCCCAAAGCGACAACAGCGCCACCGCUGCGCGGGAUAUGGGGGCCACAUCUCGCCCCUGCAAUCCCGCUCGCUUACCCAACUGUCAGUAUCUAAAAAUGUUGGCCAUAGGCCACCAGUUCGGUUGUCUGUGACACUUUCCUUUUCUUUCUUUCGGUCUCUUUAUUUCCCAAAAUAAAACGAAAACA